AUCAAAUUUUAUUUCUUUUCUCCUUCUCUCGCGUUAUAACUCCCGAAUCGACAAAGUAAGAAGAUGGAAUUGAAGGAUAUGGAAUCAGAGGAGGUUGGGGUCGGAGGAGAUUGAAUCGGCGGAGGAGAUAUGGAAUCAGAGGAGGUUGCGAUUAGAAGCCGUGGCAGAUGUAAACAAAGCAAUUGAGUUGGAUCCUUCACUGACCAAAGUUUAUCUAAGAAUAGGGAUUUGAUGUUGAUUUCUGCAACCAUACGUAUAAUGGGAUAAUGCCGGGUGGAUGUAGUCCCUAUGACAAACUCUUUGCAAAGGCUGGACUCCAUUGUUACAAUCUUGAAAAGGGAAAGAAGUUAGAAUUCAAGAGUCUAGUCAAAGUUAACUCAGAAAUCGGUUCACUUUACAAUUCUUAUUCAACAUCCGAGGUGAUGGAUCUUAUCAACAACUCAAUUCACACUUUCCAAACUUUAGUCACGGAUGCAGGGUAUGAGAGAACAAAGCGCGUUUGAUACUCGUCACAAAAAUAUGCAGGAUCAAGCCUCAAGUGCCAGGCAUUGGAGAUGCCACUGUCUUUUGGGACUUGGAUGCUAUAGAUAACUUCUAUAAAGGUGAUAUGCCAGAUUGGCCACAAAAUGAUGAUAAGUUACAGUUCUAUGAGGUGAAAUGAAUUAGAGUUGCGAGUGCAGAGGCAUAGUAAGAAGAACAAGUGAUGGAAAAACAGGACAUAUGUGCCGUGAAGCAGGGUAAGGUAAAAUUUAGUGAAGGAGUUGGGGCAAAUCAGUAUUACAAUUAAUCAUUUUCUCUAUUUAUGAAUUGCACUUCUAUUAUAAAAUGUAUUAUGUUUAUUUUAUGUUUUGUAUGCUUAAAAAUUAAUUAAAUGUAAUAUUUUCCCAUUUUUAUAACAUCUUAAAUGUCUAAUCAUUUAUACUA
Camelina sativa (false flax) is the source of this 924-nucleotide non-coding RNA. Lineage: Eukaryota; Viridiplantae; Streptophyta; Magnoliopsida; Brassicales; Brassicaceae. The record is from RefSeq and is a predicted model, not a curated record.